Molecule: ribosomal RNA, 435 nt
Filed under: uncultured bacterium
Lineage: Bacteria
Description: partial 16S ribosomal RNA
Rfam family: Bacterial small subunit ribosomal RNA
Source: RNAcentral
GAUGAACGCUGGCGGUAUGCUUAACACAUGCAAGUCGAACGGACUCUUCGGAGUUAGUGGCGGACGGGUGAGUAACGCGUGAGAAUCUGGCUUUGGGUUCGGGACAACCACUGGAAACGGUGGCUAAUACCGGAUGUGCCGUGAGGUAAAAGAGAAAUUGCCUGAAGAUGAGCUCGCGUCUGAUUAGCUAGUUGGUGAGGUAAAGGCCCACCAAGGCAGCGAUGAGUAGCUGGUCUGAGAGGAUGACCAGCCGCACUGGGACUGAGACACGGCCCAGACUCCUACGGGAGGCAGCAGUGGGGAAGUAUCCGCAAUGGGCGAAAGCCUGACGGAGCAAUACCGCGUGAGGGAAGAAGGCUCUUGUGUUGUAAACCUCUUUUCUUAGGGAAGAACAAAAUGACGGUACCUAAGGAAUCAGCAUCGGCUAACUCCGUG